Molecule: ribosomal RNA, 292 nt
Filed under: uncultured bacterium
Lineage: Bacteria
Description: partial 16S ribosomal RNA
Rfam family: Bacterial small subunit ribosomal RNA
Source: RNAcentral
GUGUCAGCAGCCGCGGUAAGACGGAGGAUGCAAGCGUUAUCCGGAAUUAUUGGGCGUAAAGCGUCCGCAGGUGGCUUAUCAAGUCUGCAGUCAAAGACCGGGGCUUAACCCUGGAAAGGCAGUGGAAACUGAGAAGCUAGAGUGUGGCAGGGGCAGAGGGAAUUCCCGGUGUAGCGGUGAAAUGCGUAGAGAUCGGGAAGAACACCGGUGGCGAAAGCGCUCUGCUGGGCCACAACUGACACUCAGGGACGAAAGCUAGGGGAGCGAAAGGGAUUAGAUACCCCUGUAGUCC